Molecule: long non-coding RNA, 298 nt
Filed under: Homo sapiens (human)
Lineage: Eukaryota; Metazoa; Chordata; Mammalia; Primates; Hominidae
Description: non-protein coding lnc-CCDC68-5:1
Source: RNAcentral
CUCCCCUUCACUUACUCUGAUUGAUGGAAACACGUGCUGGGAGCUUUCCCUGACAUUCUUUCCAAAGACUGAAAAUGUAGAAGACAGAAGUAGCUCAGGGUCCUGGGGGAAUGGAGGACAUCCAAGCCCGUCCAGGAACUAUGGAGAUGGGACUCCCUAUGACCACAUGACCAGCAGGGACCUUGGGUCACAUGACAAUCUCUCUCCACCUUUUGUCAAUUCCAGAAUACAAAGUAAAACAGAAAGGGGCUCAUACUCAUCUUAUGGGAGAGAAUCAAACUUACAGGGUUGCCACCAG